UUAUGACAUUGCUGCAUUUAUUACUCCGUACUGCCAAUGAAUACAUGAAUGUAGGAUUACAUUCAAUUAUUUGUAGGAUAAAUGCAGGCCCUCCGAUCCACACAGCAGAGUUGACUAUACUCAACAUUUUGUGGCAACGUGGUGUCAGUUUUCCCUGUAAGGGAGUGUGUUUUGCGACACUUUCCUUUUAUUAGAUUCACAAUGCCUUUGUAACGCCCAACCUCUCCUUUGUAGAAUUUUUCUUUGUUAGAAAACAGACAAACUCUGUCCUUAGGAACCGUCUUCUACUUGGUACAGCACUGGCCUCAGGCCGCCUGCAUCUGCGUGGACCAGUAAGAAUGAAGUCCAGCAGCAUAGAGAAAAGCAUCAUAAAGGCUGGGAGGUCAUCCCCCAGGGCCUCCCCUACUUCACAUACACAGAGACGUGUGCAUAUGUCACACACACACACAUAUUAUAUAUAGAUAUGUAUUUUUUUUUUUUUUUACAAAAAUAACAGGGUUUGCACAGCUCUAUUAAUUUUUUAAAAUUACACAGGCAAGGUUUAUGCUUCAGUAUAAC
RNAcentral lists this long non-coding RNA (558 nucleotides) under Homo sapiens (human). Its description in RNAcentral is "HSALNT0040210". Lineage: Eukaryota; Metazoa; Chordata; Mammalia; Primates; Hominidae. The record is from RNAcentral.